Molecule: ribosomal RNA, 462 nt
Filed under: uncultured Cytophagaceae bacterium
Lineage: Bacteria; Pseudomonadati; Bacteroidota; Cytophagia; Cytophagales; Cytophagaceae
Description: bacterial SSU rRNA
Rfam family: Bacterial small subunit ribosomal RNA
Source: RNAcentral
UAAGUCAGAGCUGAAAUCCUAUGGCUUAACCAUAGAACUGGCUUUGAUACUGUUGAUCUUGAGUAUGGUAGAGGUAGGCGGAAUUUAUGAUGUAGCGGUGAAAUGCAUAGAUAUCAUAAAGAACACCGAUAGCGAAGGCAGCUUGCUGGACCAUAACUGACGCUAAUGUACGAAAGUGCGGGUAUCGAACAGGAUUAGAUACCCUGGUAGUCCGCACCGUAAACGAUGCUCACUCGCUGUUGGCGAUAAACAGUCAGCGGCCAAGCGAAAGCGUUAAGUGAGCCACCUGGGGAGUACGACCGCAAGGUUGAAACUCAAAGGAAUUGACGAGGGUCCGCACAAGCGGUGGAGCAUGUGGUUUAAUUCGAUGAUACGCGAGGAACCUUACCUGGGCUCGAAUGCGUCUGCAUAGACUAGAGAUAGUCUUUUCCUUCGGGACUGACUGCAAGGUGCUGCAUGGCU